RNAcentral lists this ribosomal RNA (407 nucleotides) under uncultured bacterium. Its description in RNAcentral is "partial 16S ribosomal RNA". It matches the Rfam family "Bacterial small subunit ribosomal RNA", at positions 30 to 526 of the family's 1533-position model. The record is from RNAcentral.
AUUGAACGCUGGCGGCAGGCCUAACACAUGCAAGUCGAGCGGAGCAGCGGACGGGGACGGAAUAGCUAGGAAUGUGCCUGGUCGUGGGGGAUAAGGUCCGGAAACGGGAGCUAAUGCUGCAUCCUAUCAGCUGAGCCUAGGUCGGAUUGGCUAGUUGGUGGGGGAAUGGCCUACCAAGGCGACGGUCCGUAGCUGGUCUGAGAGGAUGAUCAGUCACACUGGAACUGAGACACGGUCCAGACUCCUACGGGAGGCAGCAGUGGGGAAUAUUGGACAAUGGGCGAAAGCCUGAUCCAGCCAUGCCGCGUGUGUGAAGAAGGUCUUCGGGUUGUAAAGCACUUUAAGUGGGGAGGCGUUACCCACAGAAGAAGCACCGGCUAACUCCGUGCCAGCAGCCGCGGUAAUUC